GUCUCAGUGGCGUAGUGGUUAGCGCACGUGCCCCGGUUAGGCGCGAGACGCGGGUUCGAAUCCCGCCUAAGAUG
This 74-nucleotide transfer RNA is filed under the name Nippostrongylus brasiliensis. It matches the Rfam family "tRNA". Rfam says of the family: Transfer RNA (tRNA) molecules are approximately 80 nucleotides in length. Their secondary structure includes four short double-helical elements and three loops (D, anti-codon, and T loops). Lineage: Eukaryota; Metazoa; Nematoda; Chromadorea; Rhabditida; Heligmosomidae. The record is from Rfam by way of RNAcentral.